This 2496-nucleotide long non-coding RNA is filed under the name Equus caballus (horse). Lineage: Eukaryota; Metazoa; Chordata; Mammalia; Perissodactyla; Equidae. The record is from RNAcentral.
GGGUUGCCACUCUUCUUUUGCUUGAAGAUCAUGCACAGAUCUUGCCUGUGCAAAAGAACAUGAGCCAGCUCAGUCUCUAUCCCCACUCUCUGCCCUGGCCACUUGACCAAUAACUAUACUUAAAUCACAACAUAAACCAAUUUGAGACAUGCUGGAAGGAGAAGGACAAUAGCCCAAAGUAACUCCAUGGUGCAGUAGUAGCCAGAAAAGUAUAAAUAGGACUGGAUUCUGCUUGUGCUGGACUAAGGUAGGCAAAACAAAUUUGACUGAAGUUUAUUGAUGUGGGAGUGGUCUCUCAUGACACAGCAUUUAACACUCUGACAGGGACCCUUGAAAAUGGUGCACACACACAUCUAGGGUGACCUCUAGAAGCGUGAGAAAGGGGAUAGCCCACACUAAGUGAGAUAGAAAUACCAGAAUUACAGUGCCAGACAGUGGAAAAAGGGAUUAAAAGACAUAGCAAAGUGGAUACACUACGUAAAGCCAGAAAAUCCACCAGAUCACUUUGUUUCAAAGAGAGCAUCUACCAUUUACCAAAACAAUGAGGAAUGACUAGUGAGAGGGCCAAAAACAUCACUAAGAAGUUUGGUGGUGGCUCCCGCCAUGGGCCAGGGCAGAUGAUAGGAGACACAGACAUGGGCUCACAUCUGUUAGCAAUGGGCAUGCUAAACCUCCAAAAUAAUCAAGGCCAUGUAUCAGCACUUAACCAGUAGAAGCCAGGUGGAGGAAAGUAAUGCAAUGAGUGGCAAGGUCAAAGUGGCAGAAGGAGGCCUGACCAGCUGGGGGUUAUGGAGAUGGUCAAUAGAAAGGAGCUUCGCUGGAGGUGAACCAGAUGAGCAAUCAACAAGGGUGCUUUUCAGUCUGUAGAAUUCAAAGAAGCCCAAGAUGGAUAAUCAGGAGUCUGAAGGCAGUCAUCCCAAUUCAAAGUCAUGAUUCCUUUAUCAGUUUCUAGACAUAAGUCGGGUUUCAGAACCAGAACUCAUCAACUGAAGGAGAAGCCAGGUCUCUGGGAGGAAGAAUCCAGCAACACCAUGGCAAGUAUACAAGAAACCAGUGAGAGCCAUGCUGCACAGAAGCUUAGAAAUCAAGCAGAUGUGGGUCCAAAGUUUUAGCUGCAUGACUGAAACAUGCGAUCUCACCUCUCUGAGCCUCAGUUUCCUCAUCCAUACCCAAGAGAGCAAUGACACCUACCUGUGUCAGGAUGCUUUUAGCUCUAAGCAACAGAAAAUAUGAACUGAACUGAAAAAAAUAAUAAUCACCUUUACCUCAUAUAGCAGGAAAUUCUGAGGUCCUGAGGAUUCUGAGUGAAGAGCAGUUGGGGCUCUGGCACCAUUUCUCUCCAGUUCUCUUGCUUUGCUUGGCGCUCCUUUGUGUGAAGGUUUUGUCUUCACGCUGCCUUCCUUCACUGUUGAAAGAAGACCACAAGCAGCAACAAUGGAAGCAUGCUUUCUCGUUCCCAUCCAGUGGAAGAGAGUGAAUAGCUUUCCCCUGAACCAUGGAAUAAAGCCUUUCCUUCAGUCUGACUGGAUCAACCUAGUUUGCUUGUCCACCCCUUUACCCGUGAAAAUAGCUGAUUGUCCAAGGCCUAGGGACCAAAUCAGUCAUUGGGCAGGAGAAUGAUAUGACCAUGAUUCAUUUAAACUAAUCAGGAUCCACCCCUGGAGCUGGAGUCUCACAGGCUUCCUGGAGGAAAGACAGACACCGUUCCUGGAAGCGCUCAGGUGAACAGCAUUCUGAGGAGAGCGGGCUUGGGCUGGGGUAGCCGGAUGCAGAGUGCGACUGGGCUCCAGGGAAAGGACACCGUUCCCUGCUGUUCUCCACUUUUAUGAUCAAAAACAGUUGAGUUUGGUAUGGUGAUGGAUGUUAACUAGACUUAUUAUAGUGAUCAUUUUGCAACAUAUACAAAUAUUGAAUCAUUAUGUUGUACACCUGAAACUAAUAUAAUGUUAUAUGUCAAUUCCAUCUCAAUAAAAAGUAUCCUAAUAUUAAAAAUGAUUUAAAAACAAUUGAGUUUGGUCACCAAGUUUUCUGAGUUGAGCCAUAUACUUGUGAUUUGUACACUUUUCUAUAGUAUGCCUAAAAUACAUACAAUUUAAAAAAAAAUUCGUGCUCUCUUCAGCAGCACAUAUAAUAAAAUUGGAAUGAUACAGAGAAGAUGAGCAUGGUCCCUGUGCAAGCUGACAAUCAAAUUCGUGAAGUGUUCCAUAUUUUUUUUAAAAAGAAAAAAAACCUCAACCUCACAUUCCCCAUCAACUACCACCCAUCUUUCAUUUUCUGUUCUAAGGCAAGCUUAUCAAAGAUGAACGUGCCACUCUCACUUCUCCAUCUGCCACUCCUUCGUUAAGCCACGCUCAUUGGGCUACUUGCCCCACCAUUCCCUCAUAAUUGGUCUAGCUACCAUCACCAAUAACGUUCAUGUUGUUAAGCCAACAGACUGGUUUCAGUCCUCAUUUUAUUUGACUUCUGAGAAGGAUUCACCCAGUUGACCUCUCCCUC